AGCAGUCGCCGCGGGAAUACAGAGGGUGCGAGCGUUAAUCGGAUUUACUGGGCGUAAAGCGUGCGUAGGCGGCUUCUUAAGUCGGAUGUGAAAUCCCUGAGCUUAACUUAGGAAUUGCAUUCGAUACUGGGAAGCUAGAGUAUGGGAGAGGAUGGUAGAAUUCCAGGUGUAGCGGUGAAAUGCGUAGAGAUCUGGAGGAAUACCGAUGGCGAAGGCAGCCAUCUGGCCUAAUACUGACGCUGAGGUACGAAAGCAUGGGGAGCAAACAGGAUUAGAUACCCGGGUAGUCCCUGUCUCUUAUAA
This 303-nucleotide ribosomal RNA is filed under the name uncultured bacterium. RNAcentral describes it as "partial 16S ribosomal RNA". It matches the Rfam family "Bacterial small subunit ribosomal RNA", at positions 507 to 809 of the family's 1533-position model. The record is from RNAcentral.